This 139-nucleotide ribosomal RNA is filed under the name uncultured eukaryote. Its description in RNAcentral is "partial 18S ribosomal RNA". It matches the Rfam family "Eukaryotic small subunit ribosomal RNA", at positions 1299 to 1458 of the family's 1831-position model. The record is from RNAcentral.
UGGUGGAGUGAUUUGUCUGGUUAAUUCCGUUAACGAACGAGACCUCGACCUGCUAAAUAGUUUGGCGAAUCCUAGAUUCGUACAAAACUUCUUAGAGGGACUAUCGCUGUGUGGGCGAUGGAAGUUCGAGGCAAUAACA